UACGUAGGGUGCAAGCGUUGUCCGGAAUUAUUGGGCGUAAAGAGCUUGUAGGCGGUUUGUCGCGUCUGCUGUGAAAUUUCGGGGCUCAACCCCGAACUGGCAGUGGGUACGGGCAGACUAGAGUGUGGUAGGGGAGACUGGAAUUCCUGGUGUAGCGGUGAAAUGCGCAGAUAUCAGGAGGAACACCGAUGGCGAAGGCAGGUCUCUGGGCCACUACUGACGCUGAGAAGCGAAAGCAUGGGGAGCGAACAGG
This 253-nucleotide ribosomal RNA is filed under the name uncultured bacterium. Its description in RNAcentral is "partial 16S ribosomal RNA". It matches the Rfam family "Bacterial small subunit ribosomal RNA", at positions 524 to 776 of the family's 1533-position model. The record is from RNAcentral.